This is a small nucleolar RNA of Cercocebus atys (sooty mangabey), 57 nucleotides long. The record is from Ensembl. NCBI's taxonomy places the organism in Eukaryota, Metazoa, Chordata, Mammalia, Primates, Cercopithecidae.
CUUCCCAAAGAUGAAUGAAGGAGUAUUGAUGAAUGCCAACCGCUCUGACGGUGGAAG